GAUUUCUGGCUCAGCAGCGUCUGGCCGGCCUCGGUUUCGAGUGCGACGUGCCGCGACGCUCUAGCCAUCCUUCCAAUCGCUGUGUUGCUGUUCUUCAUUGAACGACAGCACGGUAUUGGAUCUUUUACUUUGAAAAAAUUAGAGUGUUUCAAGCAGGCUUAAUGCUAUGAAUACAUUAGCAUGGAAUAAUAAUUUAGGACUUCGGUUCUAUUUUGUUGGUUUCUAGGACUGAAGUAAUGAUUGAUAGGGAUAGUUGGGGGUGCUAGUAUUCAGCGGCCAGAGGUGAAAUUCUCGGAUUCGCUGAAGACUAACUUAUGCGAAAGCAUU
This 327-nucleotide ribosomal RNA is filed under the name Bodomorpha sp. Its description in RNAcentral is "SSU rRNA". The stretch from base 68 to 327 matches the Rfam family "Eukaryotic small subunit ribosomal RNA", at positions 695 to 955 of the family's 1831-position model. The record is from RNAcentral. Lineage: Eukaryota; Cercozoa; Glissomonadida; Viridiraptoridae.